GAUGAACGCUAGCUAUAGGCUUAACACAUGCAAGUCGAGGGGAAACGGCAUUAUGUGCUUGCACAUUUUGGACGUCGACCGGCGCACGGGUGAGUAUCGCGUAUCCAACCUGCCCUUUACUUGGGGAUACCCCGUUGAAAGACGGCCUAAUACCCGAUGUAAUUCAUUGAUGGCAUCAGAUAUAAAUAAAAUAUUUAUCGGUAAAGGAUGGGGAUGCGUUUGAUUAGCUUGUUGGUAAGGUAACGGCUCACCAAGGCGACGAUCAGUAGGGGUUCUGAGAGGAAGGUCCCCCACAUUGGAACUGAGACACGGUCCAAACUCCUACGGGAGGCAGCAGUGAGGAAUAUUGGUCAAGGGGCGCAAGCCUGAACCAGCCAAGUAGCGUGCAGGAAGACGGCCCUAUGGGUUGUAAACUGCUUUUAUACGAGAAUAAUUUGAUGCACGUGUGCGUUAUUGAAUGUAUCGUAUGAAUAAGGACCGGCUAAGUCCGUG
RNAcentral lists this ribosomal RNA (492 nucleotides) under uncultured bacterium. RNAcentral describes it as "partial 16S ribosomal RNA". It matches the Rfam family "Bacterial small subunit ribosomal RNA", at positions 28 to 507 of the family's 1533-position model. The record is from RNAcentral.